RNAcentral lists this transfer RNA (86 nucleotides) under Caballeronia arationis. RNAcentral's name for it is "tRNA-Arg". Lineage: Bacteria; Pseudomonadati; Pseudomonadota; Betaproteobacteria; Burkholderiales; Burkholderiaceae. The record is from RNAcentral.
UGUGAUAUUGCGCAAGGUUCACCAUCGGCGGCAGUUUCUGGUUGUCGUCCUGCGGCAUUUUGAAGUGCAGCACUUCGGUGUCGCGG